UGGGGAAUAUUGCACAAUGGGGGAAACCCUGAUGCAGCGACGCCGCGUGAAGGAUGAAGGAUUUCGGUUCGUAAACUUCUAUCAGCAGGGAAGAUAGUGACUGUACCUGACUAAGAAGCCCCGGCUAACUACGUGCCAGCAGCCGCGGUAAUACGUAGGGGGCAAGCGUUAUCCGGAAUUACUGGGUGUAAAGGGUGCGUAGGCGGUUUGUUAAGUUAGAUGUGAAAGCCCGGGGCUCAACCUCGGGAUUGCAUUUAAAACUGGCGAACUAGAAUACAGGAGAGGUAAGUGGAAUUCCUAGUGUAGCGGUGAAAUGCGUAGAUAUUAGGAGGAACACCAGUGGCGAAGGCGACUUACUGGACUGUUAUUGACGCUGAGGCACGAAAGCGUGGGGAGCGAACA
RNAcentral lists this ribosomal RNA (402 nucleotides) under uncultured bacterium. Its description in RNAcentral is "bacterial SSU rRNA". It matches the Rfam family "Bacterial small subunit ribosomal RNA", at positions 355 to 774 of the family's 1533-position model. The record is from RNAcentral.